Molecule: long non-coding RNA, 289 nt
Filed under: Meriones unguiculatus (Mongolian gerbil)
Lineage: Eukaryota; Metazoa; Chordata; Mammalia; Rodentia; Muridae
Description: lncRNA (ENSMUGG00000000692.1)
Source: RNAcentral
CCCUCGGCCGUCAGGGCCGCUCGGAGGGAGUUCUCCCGGAGCCCGAGACGGGAGGGCGGCUGGCGGGGCUGGGCUGCAGUUGCACCGCCGCGCCUGAUGUUGGAAUCCCCCAAGUCCUGAUUGAAGCACUUGAAGACUCCUGACCCCACAUCCCUGCUUUAUCCUGUGGGUCAUUGCACACCUCACCUGGAGCAUGGACUGUACUUUUGUGUCAUAAUCCCAAUACAUACCUGUCUACACAACACUUCAGACGCUAAUUCUACAAAGGUUUUCCUACGGAGCCCCGUGG